Molecule: non-coding RNA, 69 nt
Organism: Macrostomum lignano
Lineage: Eukaryota; Metazoa; Platyhelminthes; Macrostomidae
Source: Rfam
GGGACCGUAGCCUAAUGAUUAGAGCGUCGGACUUAUGACUUGAAGGUCGGGGUUCGAUUCCUGAUCCCA